RNAcentral lists this ribosomal RNA (482 nucleotides) under uncultured bacterium. Its description in RNAcentral is "partial 16S ribosomal RNA". It matches the Rfam family "Bacterial small subunit ribosomal RNA", at positions 30 to 507 of the family's 1533-position model. The record is from RNAcentral.
AUUGAACGCUGGCGGCAUGCUUUACACAUGCAAGUCGAACGGUAACAGGCCGCAAGGUGCUGACGAGUGGCGAACGGGUGCGUAAUGCAUCGGAACGUGCCCAGUCGUGGGGGAUAACUACUCGAAAGAGUAGCUAAUAACUCAUACGAUCUAUGGAUGAAAGCGGGGGACCUUAAGGCCUCGCGCGAUUGGAGCGGCCGAUGUCAGAUUAGGUAGUUGGUGGGGUAAAGGCUCACCAAGCCAACGAUCUGUAGCUGGUCUGAGAGGACGACCAGCCACACUGGGACUGAGACACGGCCCAGACUCCUACGGGAGGCAGCAGUGGGGAAUUUUGGACAAUGGGCGCAGGCCUGAUCCAGCAAUGCCGCGUGCAGGAAGAAGGCCUUCGGGUUGUAAACUGCUUUUGUACGGAACGAAACGGCUCUGGUUAAUACCCGGGGCUAAUGACGGUACCGUAAGAAUAAGCACCGGCUAACUACGUG